CCCGAUUAUACAUGUUUCAACAUCCAAGACCAUCGACUGUCAUGGAAAUAAUGUUGAGGAGUUUCAAACCUUCAUCCUAUAUAUUUUUCAUAUAUUUUAAACAAGAAAUGAUGAAAUUCCAUGGGAGGUGGUAGAGCAAGGUUAUGCUAUAAACAAACCUUGCUCUAUUAGAGAACAUUCUGUUGGAUCAUAGAGAUUCUGGUAGUCAAAACUCACUGCAUCAUACAGGUGUGUUGGAACAUCAGCAAGGAGCCCACGAUCAAAGUAAUCUGGAAAAUCGAUAUUUUCGAGUCCAAGAUUCAUAGCAUAACAAUCACCUUGAACCCAACGGACUUGAAAAUCAUCAUCCAAUGUUGCAAAAGGUGACAUGCCCCAAUUUAUAUUCUUUUGCGCUGAUUCCAAAUCUGAUAUGCAUCUCAGAUUUGAAGCCUGAUUUUUCAGGCUUGAUGUGUUGGUGGAAAUGGGCUCAAAAGUUUGAUGAUUCACCUUAUAGGUCUUGGUUUGAACAUGGCUAGCUUCGAUUGUGCUCCCUGUUGAACUUACUUGGCUACCAUUCUUCCUGCACUCAUCGUACAAAGGUUUAAUUUUAACAGAGCCACCCAUGCCUCUUCCAGUUACAGAAGAUCCAGAAAUAAUGGGUGGAGCUGGCUGUGGAUAAUCAACUUGGAUGUGCUGUUGUUUACCAGGCCAUGUCAGGUGGCUAAAACCAUCAUCUAAAUGGAGUGGCU
This 728-nucleotide unclassified non-coding RNA is filed under the name Hevea brasiliensis (rubber tree). The record is from RNAcentral. Lineage: Eukaryota; Viridiplantae; Streptophyta; Magnoliopsida; Malpighiales; Euphorbiaceae.